This is a long non-coding RNA of Empidonax traillii (willow flycatcher), 1547 nucleotides long. RefSeq lists it as uncharacterized. The transcript is spliced from 2 exons. NCBI's taxonomy places the organism in Eukaryota, Metazoa, Chordata, Aves, Passeriformes, Tyrannidae. The record is from RefSeq and is a predicted model, not a curated record.
UCCAAUGCCUUGUCAUAGCUCCAAGGAUUUUUCUGUUCUGGGUCUCUAGCCUCAGUCUGUCUCAACGAAGUAAUGCAGAAAUUGUAUUAAUCCAAGAGAAAUUUGGGGCAUAUCAUGAAGGCUGAUUAGGAGGUAGGUAUCUACAGAGCCAGGGGCCCAGCAUCUUAUUUUUGGGCCCCUGUCUGGAUGCAGGUAGAGAUCUGGAUUUAGAUAUACCAGAAUUGCAACUAGCAACGUAAGAUAAAGGUUUGCUUUGCAUCUCAGUGCAGCGUUACUAUUGCUACAACAGUCCUCUCUAACCUGAUGAGGUUUUGGCUCAGUAAUAACAUAAAAUGAGCUAUCACUCUGUACAUCUUCACAGAGCGCAUAACAUAUUAAGGCCCUGACCUCAACGGCAUGAAACUACAAUUUCCCUGUAAGUGCAAAACAAUAAUACUUCAUUAAUCAUCCACAACAAAAAUCCCCAUUCCCCAGACUAUUCUGGCAAUAUUCUGCAUUUUUGCUUGUCUAGGAACCUGAAUUAAAAGGGAGAAAAAUGGUUUACAACAGCCCGUGGCAGUGAUGUAGCAAGAGACCUUAUGUAAGAGCUGGCGGCAUGCUCGCCUUGCAAGGGUGAGGUGUAGGAAUGAGUGAUCCUGGAAGGAUGUUUCUCUGAGGUGUGUUCUGUGCCUGGGCUGGGAACAGCAGUCUCAAGGGCACAAAUUCCAGCAUCUGAAUGUGCUUGGUCUUGUUCAUCUCAUUAAUUUCUUACAGCUAUCCCAAGUGAAGCUACAAAAUCCCUGAGUACUUUACUCAAAGCCUUUCAUGGCUUGUCAAUAAAUUAUUUUCAAAUUAACUACCUGAUAAUUUGAAUCUGCAGGCUCUUAAAAGAUGCAGCGUGGUGCAAGAGAAAAAAAUAAUGGAAGUCACCGACUUUGCCCAUAAAAAAGAACAAAGGUUCUUCUCUGAAGUAUUAUUCAGUUUGGUGCUUCUGAAAAGUAGUGGUAUGGUGGCUCCACCACUGCCCUGGGCAGACUGUUCUAGGGCUUGACAACCCUUUUGAGGAAGAAAUUUUUCUUACUAUACACAGUGCCGCUCAACUGGGUGUCAUCUAAAGACUUACUGAGGGUUCCACCAAACCCCUCAUCCAGAUUGUUGAUAAAGAUAAUAAACAGAACUGGAAUGAAUUGUCACUGUCUGUCUGGGAAUAAUUCUGCUGUGGGAUUCCUGCACAUCUUUUUCCUUUGACUUCUUCCUUCAUCACAUGGGGAACCAGCAAAGUCAACCACUGUGCCAGAAAGUAAGGAACACAAUUUGGGCAGUUUGCUAAAAUCGAGUGCCUUGACACUUCAGUUAAACUUGUCCAGAUGAACCAAAGCUGCUUCUCUGCUGCUCAGUUCUCUGAGAUCUGGGAGACAAUUUGCUGCAUGUAUUUAUGAAAGAGGCGUAUCUCCCUUUUACCGCCAAGUGUUGUAACGAAGUCAAGUGGAAAAGUGCCAUUUGCCGUAUAAUAAAAACCCUCUAUUGUUCAUAGAAAUGAACACCUAAUAAUAAAACCUUAAAUUUCA